This 319-nucleotide ribosomal RNA is filed under the name uncultured eukaryote. RNAcentral describes it as "partial 18S ribosomal RNA". It matches the Rfam family "Eukaryotic small subunit ribosomal RNA", at positions 1470 to 1796 of the family's 1831-position model. The record is from RNAcentral.
CCCUUAGAUGUUCUGGGCAGCACGCGCGCUACAAUGGUCUUCGCAAACGGAUGCAUUCUCGAAGGAGAAUGCCAAUCUUGGAAUCUAUGCCUUGGUCGGGACAGUUGCUUGCAAUUUUUCGACUCGAACCAGGAUUUCCUUGUAAUCGUGAUUCAUCACAUCACGAUGAAUACGUCCCUGCCCUUUGUACACACCGCCCGUCGCUCCUACCGAUCGAAGAGUUAGGUGAAUUGUUUUGAUCGAUAAGAUUUGACUAUGGUCAACUCUCGUUGUGAAAUUCUGUGAAUCUGACUGUUUAGAGGAAGGAAAAGUCGUAACA